GAUGAACGCUGGCGGCGUGCCUAAUACAUGCAAGUCGAGCGAACGGACGAGAAGCUUGCUUCUCUGAUGUUAGCGGCGGACGGGUGAGUAACACGUGGAUAACCUACCUAUAAGACUGGGAUAACUUCGGGAAACCGUAGCUAAUACCGGAUAAUAUUUUGAACCGCAUGGUUCAAAAGUGAAAGACGGUCUUGCUGGCACUUAUAGAUGGAUCCGCGCUGCAUUAGCUAGUUGGUAAGGUAACGGCUUACCAAGGCAACGAUGCAUAGCCGACCUGAGAGGGUGAUCGGCCACACUGGAACUGAGACACGGUCCAGACUCCUACGGGAGGCAGCAGUAGGGACUCUUCCGCAAUGGGCGAAAGCCUGACGGAGCAACGCCGCGUGAGUGAUGAAGGUCUUCGGAUCGUAAAACUCUGUUAUUAGGGAAGAACAUAUGUGUAAGUAACUGUGCACAUCUUGACGGUACCUAAUCAGAAAGCCACGGCUAACUACGUG
Molecule: ribosomal RNA, 497 nt
Filed under: uncultured bacterium
Lineage: Bacteria
Description: partial 16S ribosomal RNA
Rfam family: Bacterial small subunit ribosomal RNA
Source: RNAcentral